CGGGCCAGCGAGGAGCUGCCUCGUGAGGGGUCCGGGCCAGCGAGGAGCUGCCUCGUGAGGGGUCCGGGCCAGCGAGGAGCUGCCUCGUGAGGGGUCCGGGCCAGCGAGGAGCUGCCUCGUGAGGGGUCCGGGCCAGCGAGGAGCUGCCUCGUGAGGGGUCGUUGCCGCGGGCAGUGCCCUCCCUGCCUCCUGGAGCCGAGCCCGGCGCUGCCCCGAGGGAGCCCCGCCAGGAAGGCACCGCGGACUCCUUGAGCUGAGCCAUCAACGGGGCUGCCUGAACCUUCCUUCGGUGCAUCACAGUUGUGUGGAGCUGAGGAUCUCCUUCACGGAGAUGAAGAGUCAGAAGGAAAGGUCUGUCUCUCCAGAACAUCGUGUCUUCUUCACACAUGAAGCCCUUUUGAAAUCAGUGACACUACAGCCUGGGAAACUGCUAACUUCAGAAUUGCAUCCAGAGAAACACUGGGGCCGCGUACCAAGAAUUCUUCUCUUUUGCCGAGUACACUUGCGUCGGUUUGAAACGGAAAAAAACCUGAUUAGCUGAAAACAAGAUUGUUCUUUUCAUAGGAAAGAGAAAUGAGAAAUUUUCUGGUCUCAUCAAUGACCUCAAAAGAUUUGGGCAAAGAAAAUGUAUAAAUUUACUGUGUAAUUCUGUAAUGAUUUAGAUCAGUGACAGCUUGUCUGU
Molecule: long non-coding RNA, 682 nt
Organism: Pipra filicauda (Wire-tailed manakin)
Lineage: Eukaryota; Metazoa; Chordata; Aves; Passeriformes; Pipridae
Exons: 3
Source: RefSeq, a predicted model, not a curated record